CCGGAGAACUGAAACAUCUUAGUACCCGGAGGAAGAGAAAGAAAAUUCGAUUCCCUUAGUAGCGGCGAGCGAAACGGGAAGAGCCCAAACCAACAAGCUUGCUUGUUGGGGUUGUAGGACACUCUAUACGGAGUUACAAAGGACGACAUUAGACGAAUCAUCUGGAAAGAUGAAUCAAAGAAGGUAAUAAUCCUGUAGUCGAAAAUGUUGUCUCUCUUGAGUGGAUCCUGAGUACGACGGAGCACGUGAAAUUCCGUCGGAAUCUGGGAGGACCAUCUCCUAAGGCUAAAUACUCUCUAGUGACCGAUAGUGAACCAGUACCGUGAGGGAAAGGUGAAAAGCACCCCGGAAGGGGAGUGAAAUAGAACCUGAAACCGUGUGCUUACAAGUAGUCAGAGCCCGUUAAUGGGUGAUGGCGUGCCUUUUGUAGAAUGAACCGGCGAGUUACGAUUUGAUGCAAGGUUAAGCAGUAAAUGUGGAGCCGUAGCGAAAGCGAGUCUGAAUAGGGCGUUUAGUAUUUGGUCGUAGACCCGAAACCAGGUGAUCUACCCUUGGUCAGGUUGAAGUUCAGGUAACACUGAAUGGAGGACCGAACCGACUUACGUUGAAAAGUGAGCGGAUGAACUGAGGGUAGCGGAGAAAUUCCAAUCGAACCUGGAGAUAGCUGGUUCUCUCCGAAAUAGCUUUAGGGCUAGCCUCAAGUGAUGAUUAUUGGAGGUAGAGCACUGUUUGGACGAGGGGCCCCUCUCGGGUUACCGAAUUCAGACAAACUCCGAAUGCCAAUUAAUUUAACUUGGGAGUCAGAACAUGGGUGAUAAGGUCCGUGUUCGAAAGGGAAACAGCCCAGACCACCAGCUAAGGUCCCAAAAUAUAUGUUAAGUGGAAAAGGAUGUGGCGUUGCCCAGACAACUAGGAUGUUGGCUUAGAAGCAGCCAUCAUUUAAAGAGUGCGUAAUAGCUCACUAGUCGAGUGACACUGCGCCGAAAAUGUACCGGGGCUAAACAUAUUACCGAAGCUGUGGAUUGUCCUUUGGACAAUGGUAGGAGAGCGUUCUAAGGGCGUUGAAGCAUGAUCGUAAGGACAUGUGGAGCGCUUAGAAGUGAGAAUGCCGGUGUGAGUAGCGAAAGACGGGUGAGAAUCCCGUCCACCGAUUGACUAAGGUUUCCAGAGGAAGGCUCGUCCGCUCUGGGUUAGUCGGGUCCUAAGCUGAGGCCGACAGGCGUAGGCGAUGGAUAACAGGUUGAUAUUCCUGUACCACCUAUAAUCGUUUUAAUCGAUGGGGGGACGCAGUAGGAUAGGCGAAGCGUGCGAUUGGAUUGCACGUCUAAGCAGUAAGGCUGAGUAUUAGGCAAAUCCGGUACUCGUUAAGGCUGAGCUGUGAUGGGGAGAAGACAUUGUGUCUUCGAGUCGUUGAUUUCACACUGCCGAGAAAAGCCUCUAGAUAGAAAAUAGGUGCCCGUACCGCAAACCGACACAGGUAGUCAAGAUGAGAAUUCUAAGGUGAGCGAGCGAACUCUCGUUAAGGAACUCGGCAAAAUGACCCCGUAACUUCGGGAGAAGGGGUGCUCUUUAGGGUUAACGCCCAGAAGAGCCGCAGUGAAUAGGCCCAAGCGACUGUUUAUCAAAAACACAGGUCUCUGCUAAACCGUAAGGUGAUGUAUAGGGGCUGACGCCUGCCCGGUGCUGGAAGGUUAAGAGGAGUGGUUAGCUUCUGCGAAGCUACGAAUCGAAGCCCCAGUAAACGGCGGCCGUAACUAUAACGGUCCUAAGGUAGCGAAAUUCCUUGUCGGGUAAGUUCCGACCCGCACGAAAGGCGUAACGAUUUGGGCACUGUCUCAACGAGAGACUCGGUGAAAUCAUAGUACCUGUGAAGAUGCAGGUUACCCGCGACAGGACGGAAAGACCCCGUGGAGCUUUACUGUAGCCUGAUAUUGAAAUUCGGCACAGCUUGUACAGGAUAGGUAGGAGCCUUUGAAACGUGAGCGCUAGCUUACGUGGAGGCGCUGGUGGGAUACUACCCUAGCUGUGUUGGCUUUCUAACCCGCACCACUUAUCGUGGUGGGAGACAGUGUCAGGCGGGCAGUUUGACUGGGGCGGUCGCCUCCUAAAAGGUAACGGAGGCGCUCAAAGGUUCCCUCAGAAUGGUUGGAAAUCAUUCAUAGAGUGUAAAGGCAUAAGGGAGCUUGACUGCGAGACCUACAAGUCGAGCAGGGUCGAAAGACGGACUUAGUGAUCCGGUGGUUCCGCAUGGAAGGGCCAUCGCUCAACGGAUAAAAGCUACCCCGGGGAUAACAGGCUUAUCUCCCCCAAGAGUUCACAUCGACGGGGAGGUUUGGCACCUCGAUGUCGGCUCAUCGCAUCCUGGGGCUGUAGUCGGUCCCAAGGGUUGGGCUGUUCGCCCAUUAAAGCGGUACGCGAGCUGGGUUCAGAACGUCGUGAGACAGUUCGGUCCCUAUCCGUCGUGGGCGUAGGAAAUUUGAGAGGAGCUGUCCUUAGUACGAGAGGACCGGGAUGGACAUACCUCUGGUGUACCAGUUGUCGUGCCAACGGCAUAGCUGGGUAGCUAUGUGUGGACGGGAUAAGUGCUGAAAGCAUCUAAGCAUGAAGCCCCCCUCAAGAUGAGAUUUCCCAACUUCGGUUAUAAGAUCCCUCAAAGAUGAUGAGGU
This 2666-nucleotide ribosomal RNA is filed under the name Staphylococcus aureus. RNAcentral describes it as "partial 23S ribosomal RNA". It matches the Rfam family "Bacterial large subunit ribosomal RNA". Lineage: Bacteria; Bacillati; Bacillota; Bacilli; Caryophanales; Staphylococcaceae. The record is from RNAcentral.